This 253-nucleotide ribosomal RNA is filed under the name uncultured bacterium. RNAcentral describes it as "partial 16S ribosomal RNA". It matches the Rfam family "Bacterial small subunit ribosomal RNA", at positions 524 to 776 of the family's 1533-position model. The record is from RNAcentral.
UACGGAGGGUGCAAGCGUUGUCCGGAUUUAUUGGGUUUAAAGGGUGCGUAGGCGGCUGAUUAAGUCAGCGGUGAAAGACAUCGGCUCAACCGAUGCAGUGCCGUUGAUACUGGUCAGCUUGAGUGUUGCAGGGGUACAUGGAAUUGAUGGUGUAGCGGUGAAAUGCAUAGAUACCAUCAGGAACACCGAUAGCGAAGGCAUUGUACUGGGCAACAACUGACGCUGAUGCACGAAAGCAUGGGUAGCGAACAGG